This 440-nucleotide ribosomal RNA is filed under the name uncultured bacterium. RNAcentral's name for it is "partial 16S ribosomal RNA". It matches the Rfam family "Bacterial small subunit ribosomal RNA", at positions 338 to 795 of the family's 1533-position model. The record is from RNAcentral.
CCUACGGGAGGCAGCAGUGGUGAAUAUUGCACAAUGGGGGAAACCCUGAUGCAGCGACGCCGCGUGAGUGAAGAAGUAAUUCGUUAUGUAAAGCUCUAUCAUCAGGGAAGACAAUGACGGUACCUGAGUAAGAAGCCCCGGCUAACUACGUGCCAGCAGCCGCGGUAAUACGUAGGGGGGAAGCGUUAUCAGGAUGUACUGGGUGUAACGGGAGCGUAGACGGGUGUGCAAGUCAUGAGUGAAAGGCGGGGGCUCAACACCCGGAGUGCUCUGGAAACUGUACGGCUGGAGUGCAGGAGGGGUAAGUGGAAUUCCGAGUGUAGCGGUGAAAUGCGUAGAUAUUAGGAGGAACACCAGUGGCGAAGGCGGCUUACUGGACUGUAACUGACGUUGAGGCUCGAAAGCGUGGGGAGCAAACAGGAUUAGAUACCCCAGUAGUC